AGUGAACGCUGGCGGUAGGCCUAACACAUGCAAGUCCAACGGCAGCACAGUAAGAGCUUGCUCUUACGGGUGGCGGGUGGCGGACGGGUGAGGAAUACAUCGGAAUCUACUUUUUCGUGGGGGAUAACGUAGGGAAACUUACGCUAAUACCGCAUACGACCUACGGGUGAAAGCAGGGGAUCUUCGGACCUUGCGCGAUUGAAUGAGCCGAUGUCGGAUUAGCUAGUUGGCGGGGUAAAGGCCCACCAAGGCGACGAUCCGUAGCUGGUCUGAGAGGAUGAUCAGCCACACUGGAACUGAGACACGGUCCAGACUCCUACGGGAGGCAGCAGUGGGGAAUAUUGGACAAUGGGCGCAAGCCUGAUCCAGCCAUACCGCGUGGGUGAAGAAGGCCUUCGGGUUGUAAAGCCCUUUUGUUGGGAAAGAAAAGCAGCAGGUUAAUACCCCGCUGUUCUGACGGUACCCAAAGAAUAAGCACCGGCUAACUUCGUG
This 492-nucleotide ribosomal RNA is filed under the name uncultured bacterium. RNAcentral describes it as "partial 16S ribosomal RNA". It matches the Rfam family "Bacterial small subunit ribosomal RNA", at positions 29 to 507 of the family's 1533-position model. The record is from RNAcentral.